This 467-nucleotide ribosomal RNA is filed under the name Arthrobacter sp. S22215. RNAcentral describes it as "bacterial SSU rRNA". It matches the Rfam family "Bacterial small subunit ribosomal RNA", at positions 28 to 508 of the family's 1533-position model. Lineage: Bacteria; Bacillati; Actinomycetota; Actinomycetes; Micrococcales; Micrococcaceae. The record is from RNAcentral. RNAcentral also lists the same sequence under 1 other name.
GAUGAACGCUGGCGGCGUGCUUAACACAUGCAAGUCGAACGAUGAUGCCAGCUUGCUGGUGGAUUAGUGGCGAACGGGUGAGUAACACGUGAGUAACCUGCCCUUAACUCUGGGAUAAGCCUGGGAAACUGGGUCUAAUACCGGAUAUGACUCCUCAUCGCAUGGUGGGGGGUGGAAAGCUUUAUUGUGGUUUUGGAUGGACUCGCGGCCUAUCAGCUUGUUGGUGAGGUAAUGGCUCACCAAGGCGACGACGGGUAGCCGGCCUGAGAGGGUGACCGGCCACACUGGGACUGAGACACGGCCCAGACUCCUACGGGAGGCAGCAGUGGGGAAUAUUGCACAAUGGGCGAAAGCCUGAUGCAGCGACGCCGCGUGAGGGAUGACGGCCUUCGGGUUGUAAACCUCUUUCAGUAGGGAAGAAGCGAAAGUGACGGUACCUGCAGAAGAAGCGCCGGCUAACUACGUGC